GAGUAGGGUGAGGGUGGGGGUAGGAGCCUAGGAUGAAUAAGAAGCCUAGAGGAGCUCAGAGUAGAGGAAAGAGCUGGAAUGUUGGUGUAGUUGUGGUGAACUUGGUCAUCAUGGUUAUAUAGUUGAGAGAUCCCCCCCCCCCAAUUGUUCCCUUUCUGGCAGGGAAAUAUGUCCUGAGAAGUGCUGGUGUUCCCAGGAGGUGACAUGUUCCUCACCUCCAGAGGGCAAGCAUGUCCUUCCCACCUUCCAUGAAUACCCAGGCUCACUGUGAAACCAGAGCAUGGAUGGCUUCUGUGUGCUUUCCUGGGCACCAAGAAAAUCAAUCGGGGAUGAAAAUGGAGGGGAAAAGUGGGGAGUCAGGAGAAGUCAGGUCAUAUAUGCCAGUUGUGAUUCUGUUUUCCUGGAAGCAGUGGGAAUGUGCAGUCUUCUCCCUUGUGACUCCAGCUCAGCUUCGUUGCUGGGCCUGCAUCCUCCUCCUCUGCACCAUCCUUGACCAGCCACUCUGGCCUUCUGCCCUUGCAAAGAUGCCUGGGUAAUAAGUUUAUGCAUUUUCCCCAUAGGCCUAAACAGUCAUCACCUUUCAGCACAGUGAAUCAUUGUGAUGCUAUCUCCUUUUAAAUUUGUGUUUAUGGCAUAAAAUCAGCACAGCUGUGGGCCAUAUGAAAGUAUUGGAGUGGCCUCUCGCAGGGACCUAGCACCCUGCCCCUGGUCCCUGAAGGUGUGAGAGGAAGCAUGGACCCCAGUCUAGGGUCAUAGACAUCAACAGGUGAUGGUUUUUGUAUUUCAUGGACUGAGGGGAGUCUGGGAGGAUUUCCUGUGGGAAACGGCACCAGGAAAAGCCCAAGUUCCUGGUUUUAUAACCAAGAGGCGAUGAUCCUCCUUAUGCACUCUGUAAAGGACAUUUCUUUUUAAGGACUCAUAAAUAUAAAUAAGCACAUAUGAAUUUUUUUUUUAAGGAUUUUAGUUCAUUGGUUGAGGGAGGUGGAAAGGUUAACAACCAAUUCAAAGGAGAAAUCAAAAGGAAGCAACAGUCAACAUGGAGGAAAGCUAUGCCAGAAUGGAUUCUCAAUACAAAAGGACCUGCUGAAUCAAUCCCAUUUGGGUAUGCUCAAUGCACAUCUCUCCACAAGAAUAAGUCGACGUUAACUCUGCAGCAUAGUUAUAAAAUACCUCAAGGGGACAGCAGUCUAGAUUCAGACUCAGCUGUUAGGGUAUGCCCUGAAAGGCACAGGUUUUCAUUGGUGACAACCAGAAACUUUGUUUAUUCCAGAUUUCUUCCCAGCCCUAUCUGGCCAAAUCCAGGAGUGACCUUUACAUCAGUGGGACUCUGGAAAGGAAGUGCUUCUCCUAUAAUGGUCAAGCCACCUGGUCUGAAAGUCACCCCGAGAUAUACUAAUGCUUUACGCUGCCCCUCGGGACGCUUGAGCAUCCCUCCCCCGACCCUUCUGCGCUGUUUCUGCAGAAGACUCUGCAUCAUCCAUGGUAGAAUCUCUUUUCGAACACAGCUGCAUUUUGAGGUUUCUUCAAGCUGUCAACAUGUGAGGACUUGAAUGUUCAAAGAAUCUCAGAUGUAGGGGUUCCCAGCCUGGCUGGUGAAUCCUCUUCCGUCCCUGCAGCCCAGUUCUUAGAACUAGCAAAGACAUGCAUUUUAAAGUAUGUUUUUAUUCUUCGAUAAUUUUAUAUAAUGUGUUUUGGUCAUAUCUUCCCCACUCCUCCCAGAUCCCCAACUUCUCUUUAAUCCACCGAGUCCACUGUGUGCUGCUCAUGUUCUCAUGAGUGUGGGGUCACUCCAGUGGAGUGUAAUCAAUCUAGCAGGAGCGGAAACCAUCCAUGAAAGCUGACCCUGGAGGGAAGAAGCCAUUAGCUGUGACUAGUGCUAAGUAAGGGGUGGUGCUUGUGAACUCCUCCCACUAUGCAUCAGUGUUGAUUGGCUUGCUUUUCUGGAGGUCUUGUAUAGGCAACCACUGCUGAGUUCACAAUGGUCCAGUCAUGUCCAAAAGAUACCAUUUUUCUCUCUGCUCCUUCCUGACCUCUGACUCUCACAGUCUUUUUUCUUUCUUUUCUUUUUUUUUAAUUGGACAUUUUCUUUAUUUACAUUUCAAAUUUUAUCCCCUUUCUGCAUUUCCACUCCGAAACCCCCCUAUCCCAUUUCUCCUCCCCCUGUUCACUAACCCACCCAUUCUUGCUUCCCUGUCUUGGUAUUCCCUACACUGGGGCAUCGAGUCUUCACAGGACCAAGGGGGCCUCUCCUCUCAUUUAUAUCCCACAAGGCCACCUGCUACAUAUGUGACUGGCUCUCACGGUCUUUCUGUCCCUCUUUCAUGAUUGUCCCUGAGUUUUGAGGGGGCAGAUGGAGGAGGGCACUGACAUGACUUUCUUCAUUUUAUAUGAGAGGAAGCAGAUUCAGAUUACAGAACUUGUGGAUGCCAUGAAGCCGGGAAGUGUUGUAUAAAUCAUCCCGAUUUACAGCCAGGAUUUCCUCUCCAAGGACUGUUCUCCCUCCCUAUUGGUGGCACUCAUAGGACACAAUCAGAGAUCAAAGGGCAUCAGCGGGCAUUGGAGGGAGACGUUGGCACUACAUAAAGUGAAUAAAGGUCAGAAAGUGAGAAUCCUGUCCUUGGCAAAGGGGGAAGAAAUGCUAUAAUUUCAACACUGGGAAUAAGACAAUGAUGCUCACAAUGUGAUCCCCACACUAGUAGCUUCAGCAUCACACUACAACUUGUACAAGUACAAAUAUUACAGCUUGUAAAAAAUACAGAUUUGAUGGUCCACCAGGUUUGUAGAGUCAUACUCUGGUGGAGCUCAGGUUUCAGGUGACUGAUACAGAAGUUUGGAAGCUGUCAUGCAUGAUUUGAGUGAGAAGAUUAACCACUAAACACCUCCAAGACCUGAGUGGAUUUGGAAAACGAUAGUUUAUUUCUUACUGUAGGGUAUGCUUGUGAGUGCUCUGCUCUGCCACCUCUCAGACAACCCAGGCUCCUUCUGUUCUGUGCUCCACCUCCUGCGUCUCCUUAUUGCUGGUUAGGAACGGAGUGCGGACCAGAGAGGAGCUAGGCUCACUUUUCACCAUUCAAGACAUUCACCUUCAGGGGCUUCUAUAUCAAGGAUCCCGGGCUUCCUAUUCCAUAAACUGGUACAGGCAUGAAGGAUCACCCAUGAGCAGACAAUGCACUUCCUCCUCUAGAAUGAUUUUUUUUCUGCUGUUUCUGGCUACCCGCAAUGUGGCAAAGGAAAAGGGCUCUCACAGUCUUUUCUUCCUUUCUUUCUUUCUUUCUUUCUUUCUUUCUUUCUUUCUUUCUUUCUUUCUUUCUUUCUUUCUCUCUCUCUCUUUUAUUUUUUUAAUUAGAUAUUUUCUUUAUUUACAUUUCAAAUUUUAUCCCCUUUCUGCAUUUCCACUCCGAAACCCCCCUAUCCCAUUUCUCCUCCCCCUGUUCACUAACCCACCCAUUCUUGCUUCCCUGUCUUGGUAUUCCCUACACUGGGGCAUCGGAAUUCCUGCUUAAUCUCCAGUAGAACCUACAUCCAGCAAGGAAGUGUUGGAUGACUGAAUUCAAGGGGCCAGGAGGAUUCCCUGGGAGAAACGGCACCAGGAGAGGCCCACGUUCCUGGUUCUUUGUGCCACUUCCUGACCUUCUCUACGGACCCCAUGGUAAGAUCGUGGGGUCUCCAGAUUCCAGCUGUGGUAGACAGCUGGGGUCAGAACACAUUGGUUGCCUAGGUCAGAUUCUUCCUUAAGGAAAAAGUAGUUUACAGGUUUCCUAUGUAGGGAAGAAUAGUGGGGGGUAGUAAAUUAGGGAGCCAGUGAGGGUCAUGAUGUUAUCUCUGCAACAAGCCAGUCUUUCCUACUGCAUAGAGUUUCUUGCUCUGCAAGGAAUUUUGAAGGCCAUCAGCCACAGAUGGUAACUAGCAAACAAAACAACACCCAAAAUCAACCAAACAAAACCCAGUCAACUUUUCCUAAUGUUCGUGGAUGGACCUGAAUCAGAGUCACAUGCCCAUUUAGCACACAAGACUUUCUUUUAACAAGGACAAUGUGGGGUUUGCUCAGGGGAGAGAGCUGGUGGGUUCAGCCCACGUCUGAUUAUUCUGAUUUAACAUAUCAAGGAGCCAGGCCCUUCAGAGUGCAUCAGAAGAUCCAAAUUCACAAGGUCACUGUGUGUGCCCGACUUCCUCAUACUCACCAUCUCCAUCCAGUUAAUGAGUGACUUGACUGCUUACCUGUAUACAGUGGAGGAAACUAAGUUACGAAAGAGGACUGCCUAGGAGGCCUUGGGCUAUGCAAGUCUGGUUGGCUUUCAGCCUUGAACUCUCUCUAUAUAUCUAUAUAUAUGUGCAUAGCACAUGCAUACUACAAAAUUUGUGUGUGAACUUUGGGGGUUGGCUCUCUCCUUCCACCAUAUGGGAAUUGAACUCAGGUUGUCAGGGCUGGGGACAAAGCUUUUAUACACUGAGCCAUCAUCUUCACUACUCCCAACAUACUCCUUGUUUUCAAGAUAGUGUUCCACUGGCCUGGACCUUAUCAAAUAAGCUAGUCUGGCUGGUCACCCUCAAGGGUCUGCUUGUCUCUGUCUUCCCAGAAUUGGAAUUACAGGUGUACAUGCCACCACAUCUCCAUUUUUUUUUUUUUUUUGAAAUACUAUGGAUUCUGGAGUGAAAAACUCAGGUCCUCAUGUUUACAAAGCAAACACUUUACUGACUGUUGCGUCUCUCCAGGCCAAUAAUGGGUCAUGCUUGUGUUGGAAUUGCUGCUCAAUAACUGACAGACCAUACCAGGCCAAUGUAGUUUCAUGUGGCAGAGGUUGAUUGUGGGGGCAGAGGCAAAGAGGGAGUGACAGAGACAAAGGGAAAAAGAGAAGAAAGAGGAGCGAAGGUCAGGAAGGCUCUGCCUUUUAUUUAGCCUGUGACAGAAGUGCUCACAGAUAAAGGUGGGAAGUGGACUCUGGAAAUGCAUGCAAUUGCCGUGGCAAUAGAGGCACAGGUCCCGAUCGCCAGUGGGUGACGUCACUGGGUUUGGAGCCAAUCUGCAAAGCGGGUUCAAUGCUGAUGAUGAAUGUGGUACAUACCUAGGCACCCUUAAAUGUAGCUAGAUAUCCUAUCGUCGAAGAUGUCCACUUUGCUUAUCCACCCCUACAGGUUAAAGUUGUUCCCAGGGUUUUGUGUUUUAUGCAUGGUUCCUAUGUAGGAAGGAUCUUCUUUUCUCGGAGGAUAUUCUAAGUAUUGAUUGCACAUAUACAGGUGUAGGAACAUUGAAGAUUUUCCUGCCUCCCCCCAGUGGAGACAAGGUCUUUUAUAUAACCUAGACUGGACUAAGCUUUUGGUCCUCCACUUCGGCCUCCCGAGUGCUGGGAUUAUAGUCAUGCGCCCUGUUGCCUGGUCAGGUUUCUUAUGUUUGUUACUGUUACUAUGCUUAGUAGCGGUGGGAUAGAAAUUGCUGUUGUCUUUCACAGAGCUCUGGGUCUGUACAAGUAAGAUCUUGAAAGCAGCUUCCUCAGUGCCAUUGUUCCAGGGCCGGUGGGAAGUAAGUAAGCAGGACUGUCCUGCCACUGGCCUUUCAGUGGUUGUUCACAUGGGCUUGCCUGUGGCCAGGAUGGUGGAGUCCUCUAGCCCUCACUGCCUUGUUGGGGACAUAUGUUCAGGGAUGACUGAGAAGCCAAGGCAAGUAGUUUCUGGCAGGGCCAUUCAUCCGUCUUCCCUUGACUACAGGGUCCAAGUAACCAGCAACUGAACGCCACAGCAUUUGCUCAAACUCUGCUCAAUUCAACCUGGGAAGUUCUUUCCUCAUCUCCCCGCCUCCUUGUUUUGAGUCAGGGUCUCAUGUAGUCCAGGCCAUUCUCAAACCUGACAAAAGCUAACUCUGACUCUGAACUCUUGGUUUUCCCACCAUCGCUGCUCACGUUCUGAGAUUAAAAGUGCGCAACACACCAUUCCUACUUUACAUGAUACUGAGUAUCAAGCCCAGGAUUUUGUGUGUGUUUAAAAAAUGACAACAGAAGUGCCUCCCCAGCCUUUCCUUCUUUUCUAUGGAUGUUUAUCCAGGACUACUCAGCAGUGUUCCUUCUACACCGUGAAGCAGACGAAAACACCUGCUGGUGGUUGCUUAUUAUCUAGCAGGGAGACAGACAAAAAUACAGCAACAAAUCAAUAAGUAAAGUAGUGGUUUACAAAGUUCAAUGCUAAGGAAAAACACAGAGCAGAGGAAGCGAGUGGGGAGAGCCGUGAGUGCAGGGUAAUGAACAAACUGAGCUGGUCUGAGAACGUAGAUCCAUACAAGAGCCCAUACACGUAAAGACCUGGGUUUGAGUUCCAGCAUGGCGAAAGAACAGGAUUCAUAUGAACCAAGACUCGGAUUCGCUAAGGAGCCAAGUGGGUCCCAGGCAGACUGAUAAGCCAAUAUUGAGGUGCUAGGGAUGUGGUGUUUGAUGUGUGCACUGAGUAGUCAGGUAGUGAUCGGCCCAGGGUGAGGCCAGCAGGCUGCAGUCAGUGAGACUGGUGGGAGGGGCCAUCCGUGCAGAUCACUGGGGAUUUUGAGAACCCUGUGAGGACCCGGGUUUAGACUUUAGUAACUGGGGUUUGCUCAGGAAAAUAGCAUGCAUUGACUUGUUUUAAAAGCAGAGUUGGAGAUGUGCUUAAGCCCCGACACAAGUCUCAUAAAACUGAGUGUGGUGGCACAUGCCAGUAAAUUCAAUCCUUGGAAAGGGUCAGAUGUUCAGGGACCCCAGCUACACAGCUAGUUCUAGGCCAGUAUGAGGUACGUACAUCUAAGGGGGUAUGGAGGGGCAUAUCCCUGCAACCUCCUUCCAGUGCCUUCUCUUUAACACUUCCUCUCAGAAACUCUCAAAGCUUUUCUCCUGCUCAGGAACCCAGGUGCCCUCCUGACUUCCCCAGGGUAGGGAAGCCUGGCUUUGCCUUCAGGGAUCUUUCUAGUAGUGUUCCUCAUGUAGGCUGAAUUCCAGGUGUGGUGUUUGUAGAGCACAUUUUAGGAAUUUGAAAUACAUUUGACUUUAAUCAUAUGUGUUAUAUAAGACCAUCUAACUUACUGUAUAGCAGUCAAUCCCCUAUUUUCUAAGAAGAAACCAAUUAUGUGUGUAAUUUUCUGUAUGCUUCUCUUUGUUUACACAGAAAUAAUCAAACAUAAUUUCUCUCAUCAUUUCUGCCCUCUCCCAAGUCUACUUCCCAGGGGUCCAAACACAUUUUUAAAACAAAUCACACUAUGGACAUAUCCCUCGUUUUUUGCCUUUCCACUCUUACUGCCCUGGGUGUUUUCCCCUCCUCCAAACAACUGAUGUCAUCAUCGUUCUUCGUGACAAGAAUAAUGUUUCCCAGCUUAGGGACAUCCAGGUGGUUUCCAGAAACUUGCACAACAGACUUGUCCGGCAAGAAACGGCGUCAGUUUGCAACAGGGACCACUUCGGCCAAUGAAAAAUAAAACCAAAAUAUAACCUGUCUGAAGAUGCUGCUGCGUUCCAGUCCGGCUGCACCUGGCGUGCAGUGCUAGGGUUGUGGUCCAGUUCGGUCGGCAGGGGGCGCGCCAAGCCAGACGCAGCUUCCAGGAACACGUGGAUAAGAGCACUCAAGGAGCCCAGAGUGGCGGAACCGCCCCCUUAGUGUUCCAGAAAUCUGACACAGCCCGUGGCUGGGUCAGGUUCACGUAUUUGGUAUCAAUUGGCCUCCUGCCCCACUGACCUGGGAUUGCUAGGGAGCGCUCCUCCCCCGCAAACAGAGCCUCAGUAGCACUAAUGGAGUAAUUUCUCCUAUUCGUUUACAAAUCCCAGGACGCCACUGCUUUCAAAGGCCUGGAACCAUUCCUCUGCUUUUAAUAGUGUUUUCUCUGCCUUCUAUCCUGUUCUUUUAAGAAUCUGGGGACACAGAGGCUAGAUGUCCUUCCUGCCUUUGGUUCACCAGUGUCCCAAUUUGCUUCCCUAUUGCCUGGGAUAAAACGCCGACCAAAACCGGCUUGAGAGAGGAAAAGGGACUGGCCUGAGAGGAGGGUGUCUGGCUGCCACAUUCGUUUUUGACCCUGUGGGCUUAACUGGAGAGACUCCGCUUGGUUCUGCUUACUUUUGUGUCAGUCUUGCAGAGAGAGACAGAUUCAGACUCCGGGUCUCUACCAUUUCUCUUGGUUUCCGGAUCCCUCUUCCAUCCCUAGGGAAGUGGAGAAACUGAUACCACCAAUCCAACCUGCUCACAGUGCCAGAUCUUGCCUGUUUUCUCCGGAUAGGGUUGCAGCUUUAAACUACGAAGAGGAUGUCAAAUUUGAAAUCUGGGUGGAGCGCUGCUGCGGCAGCCUACUGGCUGCAUAGCCCGAGGCAUGCACUACCUUCCUGGGCUUUCCUGUCUGGAUAAAAGGACACCUAUGAACAGCUCUGCAAGCAAGCUUAUUAGAAAGGGAGCCUCGGGUCUCAGCAAGAGCAGCUCCUACCCACCUCAAAGCAGAAGCCUGGACAUUUGUAUUAAAGCAGACUAGCAAGGACUUGGACAACAAAGAUAUCAACAACAACCUCCCAAAUGGCCCACUGGGGAGGCCUGUCUUUAAGCACAUGCAGAGUUUAAAAGUCUGCUCUAGGGAAAGGAAAUGAUGUCAUCUUUAUGGUCAUGAGCACUGUGGUAAGCAUCAUGCUGCAGCAGAUCCUGCAGGACAUGUACAUCGACCCGGAGCUGUUGGCCGAGCUCAGCGAUGUGCAGAAGCACAUCCUCUUCUAUAAGAUGCGAGAGGAGCAGCUGCGGCGAUGGAGGGAACGGGAGGCGUGGGAUGCCCUGGCUCAGGCAGAGGGCCUGAGGCCCGCAAAGGUCAAGAGAGCGAGCAACAAGCAUCUCCAGUGGCUUCUGGGAGCAGAUGGUGAGGUCUGGGUGUGGGUCAUGGGCGAAGGCCCUGGAGACAAGCCCUACGAAGAGAUAUCUGAAGAACUGAUUGCAGAGAGGGCCCGGCUGCAAGCACAGAAAGAGGCUGAAGAGCUCUGGAGACAGAAGGAAGCAGAGAUCACCAAGAAGUUCCGGGAUGCCUUGGCCAAUGAGAAAGCUCGGAUUCUGGCAGAGAAGUGGAAAGUGGAGAUGGAGGACCGCAAGGCUGCUAAAAUUUUGGAGGAACGUAUACACGAGGAAUUCAAGAGGAAAGAGGAAGAAGAGAGGCGGCGAGGGGAAGAACAGAUUCGGCUCCAAGAGGAGCAGAGGGCAAAGGAACUCUACUGGACUCUGAAGCAGGCCCAGCUGCACAGCCAAGCCAGUGAGAAUGAGGAGCGUGAAUGGGAAGAACAGCUGCGGAGAUCCAAGGCUGCUGAUGAAGAGAGGAGCCGUCGUGCUCAGCGAGCCCGGGAUGAGUACCGGCGCCAUUCACUCCGAGCCAUCCAGAAGGGCACUGUUGCUGGCCUAAGCACCAUGUUCCAAGAGCUUGGCCAGAACCACGAGCAAGAGGCAAGACUUUAUCACCAACUUCCUGACACCAGUCCACCAUCACCCCUCACAGGACCUGACAGGACCUGGGAGCGACCUCUGCGUCCACUCUCCAGAGAAGUCAUCGUGCGCUGGUUCAAGGAGGAACAGCUGCCUCGCCGAGCAGGCUUUGAGAGGAACACCAAGUCCAUCGCCCCUUGGUUUCAUGGAAUUAUUAGCCGAGAGAGUGCAGAAGACCUUCUGGAGAAUAUGACCGAGGGAGCAUUUCUGGUCCGGGUCAGUGAGAAGAUCUGGGGUUAUACCCUGUCCUACCGCCUGCAGAGAGGCUUCAAACACUUCCUUGUGGAUGCUUCUGGGGACUUCUACAGCUUUCUGGGAGUGGACCCUAAUCGCCAUGCCACCCUAACAGAUCUCAUUGAUUUCCACAAGCAGCAGCAGCAACAAUAAUACCACCACCACCACCUGCCACCCAAAAUCAGAGUUAAAGAAGAAGAGAAGAAAGGACAGAAGAGAAAACUAUUCAUUCAGAGAUGCCUGGGCUCAGAGUACUGCUGUGGAUCUGGACUAGGAGGAGAUCAUCACUGUUUCAGGGGGAGAGUUGCUACAGGAACCCUGUGGACAGAGGGAUAGCCCACCAGACUAUCACCUGUUGUUUGAAUGAUUUUUCCCCUCCUCUUUGGACUCCUUUGAGUAUCCUGAUUUUGAACUGAGCUUAAGAAUAUCCAAACUCAAAGCCUCAUGACGUUUUGGAAGAUCCACCAUUCUUCAGAUGAACAAUUAUAUUAGUAAGCCUCCAGAAUGUGACCUAUAAAACGUGACUGCAUUCGUGAGACUGUUCCCAUUCCAAAGUUCAAGACAGAAACCUCGAAUAAUGAUGCUCCUGGAGGCCUGUCUGUCAUGGCUGUGCUAAGUUGAAUUCCUAGGGUGAAUGGGUCAUAUUUUAAUAACCCAAAGCAAAUCCAGUGCCGAACCUCCCACUUAAUGUAGGGCCAGCACUCAAUAAGUCUUUGUUGAAUGAAUGCCCUCCUAAAAAACUCCUAACACUGAUGGUUUCUAGCAAAUUACUUUGUAUAUUACUUCAUAAAGUCACAGAGAUAGCAGACCAGGCUUGUGACUAACUUACAUGGAAGACACACAUGUUAUAUCUUUCCUAGUAUUCAUGAACUUGUUGAUAUUCUCAUGGGCAUUGCUCAAGGUUGUUAUGUUUGACUUUCAGUAUGGGAUAUUGGUGUUGUGCUGGCUGCUUGGUUUGACUACUUCUACCUCUCUCUUAUGUCUCAUCUUACAUGUGGCUCUGGUUUUGCAAAUUGAGGUAAUGAUGUCAUGUAAAUGCGCAGAAUAUCUGGAAUGGAUUAUAAACCCAAGGAUAGUGUUUAGAUACUUGAUGAGGCAGGUCUUUGCUCUCUAGAAUGUUCUCUGUGUGCUCUCUACUUAAAGGCGUAGCUAUGCUUUGAUUUUAAUUCUUCCACCUCCUUAAUUUGAACAUGUUCUUCAUAUUAAUGAGAGUAACCUCCCUGUAACUCAGUAACUCUCAAGGAUGGAGUCUUCCUUAGGGUUUUAUUGUUGCAAAGAGACACCAUGAACACAGCCACUCAUAAAAUAAAAUAUUUAAUUGGGGACUAGCUUAUGGCUUCAGAGGUUCAGUCAAUUGUCAUUAUGAUGGGAAGCAUGGCAGCUUGUAAGCAGACAUGGUUCAGGAGAAGGAGAUAAGAGUUCUAUACCUUGAUCUGAAGGCAACUGGGAGAGAGACUGUCUUCUAGGCACCUAGGUGGAUCUGAAUGCCUACCCCUACAGUGAGACACUUCCUUCCAACAAGGCCAUACCUCCUAAUAAUGGACCAACCAUAUUCGAACCACCACAGUGUCUAAUGCAAGCAUAAUCAUGUUGUUUCCUUAUGGUGAUAGACAAGGAGAUAGCAGAUGUUGCAGCAAGAUGGCAGGUUCUGAAGUCUGGAAGGCUUCAGUUAUAGUCCAUACUCUGAAACUUUGUGGCAUUAUAAUCCUUGCAGCACUGGGUUUGGCAUAUAUAAAAGGAUAUAUGGACUCUGGAAACACCAGAAAACUGUUUUAUCUGCCUUGAGAGUUGUGUAGUAAGAAGAAUAAGGUGUCUUUAUUCUCCACUCAACCUCUUGGCUCUUCUGUUUCUUGUAUCCUUGGCCACUUGUGACAUCAUCCACCCUCAUGGCUAUUGUUACAGCCAGUUUUGUGUGGACGACUCUGCUUUCUGCAUUGACCAUAUUCUUCUGCCUCACAUGUACAUAUGACAAUGGGACUUUGCCACACAUGGUUCUUUGGGAUCAUUUAUUUUUAUCUUUUAAACUGACUUUUCUUUAUUUUUGAGAAUUUUGUACAUCUAUACAAUGAAAAAUGAUAUUUACUGUUCCCCUUCCCUAUUCUAUUCCCCAGAUCUAUCCCAGUAUGCUCUCAACAUCAUGUAUUCAUAAAAAAUAACUCAUAGGUACAAGUAAUGGUACCAUAUGAGUAUGAGUGUAGCCUUUCUCUGAGCACCAUAGAAACCUUACUAGGAGUCACAUCUCCAAAGGAAAGUGACUCUGUCUUCCUCAGAAGCUACCAAUUACCAAUGCUCUUCAGUAAGGGGUAGGACCACAAAACAUUUUUUAUAGUUAGUUUCUUCUGUUAGAGUCCUAAUAAGACUUACAUGUAGCAUCUGUUAUGCCCUCAAGUCUCUGAUAACACCCUCCUCUUCUUGACCCAUAACUAGUUUUAUAAAUUAGAGUUCUAUAAAAUGACCUGUGUUCUGGACUUGCCUUAUUGUUUCCUGUUGUUAUUUCUGUAUUGUCUCUAUUUCAUAUUUCCUGACUUGAUUGAGAUUGAAUUUGAGGGCCAGAAAAUGUUCUUAGGGCAUCAUGUCACAAGGAUCCUUGUAACAUAUUGGCUCAAAUUUUCUAGACUUGUCAGUGGGCUCAGAAUGUCUCAAACUGAGUACCCCAGUUGGCCUUCUUCACCCUUAUCUUUUGUUUUUGCUUUUUGAGAUAGGGUCUUGUUGCAGGAAAUAUUAAAAAAGAAUGGCACAUUCCUGCCCUUGUACCAGCAACUCACUACCCCAGAGGCCUGGCCGGCCAUGUACUGGUGGACAAUGGCUGACCUGUUUUUAUCUCUCGGAGACUCUGACUCAGUGCUCCAAAAUCUCUCCAUCCUGCUCGCUAAGUUUCCACUGGUGGGUUGUUGCCACACCAACCCUGUGUUUCAAAUCCCCCAUGGCCUUUGUGGUGCACCUCAGGCAAACCCAGUCUUUGCCACUGUAUCUUUCUCUCUUGAACUCAGAGGAGCCACCAGGUGAAGGAAAACACAACACAAACAAGUUCAGAAACUCAGUCAUUGUGCGCUGCAACUAAAAUCCUAAUCUUGUAAACCUUAUUAAAUCUAAAUCCUCUGGUGGAGAAUCCUGACAGAUCCGCCAUUGAAACUGGGAGACACUGGCAGCUACAUCUUGUCCUUAUGCUAUCCCGUCCAAAAGGCCAUAACUCACUCCUCUUUCCUCUCUUUCUCUGUGCAGCCCAGAAGUCCCACCUACUCACCCAAUGAUUGACUUCUUUAUUAAUUAGGGGAUUGGGUCACAAGAAGUCACCUGGGUACAUGACUCACCCCUUGUCCGCAGUCCCCCCCAGGAGAGUGGAAUUAGCAUGCACCAGGCCCAUCCACAACAGGGUCUCAUAAUGCAGGGUAAUCUUAAAUUUACUACAUUGAACUUUGAUCUUCCUGUCUCUACUUCCCGUGGUCUGGGAUAUAGGUGAGUACCACUAUGCUUGGCUUCCCUUUUGGAUCCUCUCCCCCUUUCAGCAAAAAAAAGUUACCCUAUAUUUCUCCCCUAUUGCUCCAGUGAACCCUAGGUCAAUGGGAUGCUCAUGUUGGUCAGUCAUUUCUUCCUUCAUCCUCCUGGAUGAAAGACAGCUCUUGAUGUGGCCACUGAGAAGACAGUCAUGCAAGAUGGCAUAGCCAGAUCCAUCAACACCUCUGUUUCCACUCAUUCUCUGUCUUUUCCCUCUCUGGAAAGUUCAUCUGGGAAGCUACGCUGGAGCUUAGUGGCUGUCUUAGUCUAUACCACUUGGGAACUCAAAGUAAGUGCCUUCUAUACACAUAUAUAUUCUGACCUUUUGUAACUUGAGUCAGGGUCUUCCCAUGUAGCUCAGGCUGUCUUGGAAAUCAUUAGCUUAAGUUUGGUUCUCAACUCAUGAUCUUCUUGGGUUCAUUUCCUGAAUGCUAGCAUGACAGGUAUGUGUCAUCACAACUGGCCCCAACACAUUAGGUAAUAGCGGUUUUAUGUAUCAGUUCCAUAGCUUCCCUCCAUCAGCCGGUAUCGCUGCAUGAAUGAAAUGAUGUGAUGAUGGAGGGAUCCUGCUUUCUAAACUUUAUGAACUCUCAAGCCAUAGCCAAAUUCUGUUCUAAUUACAUCAGUUCUACCAGGUCUUAGAAGACCUCCUCUUGUUCUGAUUUUGCACUGUGUCAGCCAUGUGAAUUUGUUCAGGCCACUCAAUCUCUAUAAACCUCUGUGUAACUGGGAAUAGGAAUUUUUGUUUUUAAUGUGGUCAUCAUUAGCUUCUUCUGGCUGAUCAGUUAAGUGACAAAUAGGGAAUCUCUGUCCAAAUGAAAGACCUUGCUAUCCACAGCCACACAGUGGCAGCUUCCUGCCAAGCAGUGCUGUGUCAGGGGAUGCCACAAGAUGAUUUCCCACACACUGGAAGAAAGUUCCAAACAACAGCUUUGAAAGGAGUCCAAGAUGGGUUGAAAAACCUGACAUCCUGGAAGGUUGUUCCUGUUGCCUGCUAAUUAAUAUGUGAGGGAUAACAGCUGAGUUUUCCAUCCCUAACUCAUUUAUUUCAUUUUAUUUGGGGCCUGCACUUUUUGUACGUCUCAUAUAUUUUAGGUUUUACCUGGCUUUCAAAUAAAUUCCUUGUAAGUUGUCCUGCAAAUGAAAUUACUGUCUGGAAAACUGCAAUUUCAUCUUGAGAGUUUUAUUAUGCUAAUAAAUGUCAGAAUUCUCAAAUAAA
RNA transcript from Mus musculus (house mouse), 14395 nucleotides. It is a transcript of the gene named SH2 domain containing 4B, with no coding region annotated. The transcript has 10 exons. The record is from RefSeq and is marked validated. Lineage: Eukaryota; Metazoa; Chordata; Mammalia; Rodentia; Muridae.